This 338-nucleotide ribosomal RNA is filed under the name uncultured soil bacterium. Its description in RNAcentral is "bacterial SSU rRNA". It matches the Rfam family "Bacterial small subunit ribosomal RNA", at positions 26 to 361 of the family's 1533-position model. The record is from RNAcentral.
AGAUUGAACGCUGGCGGCAGGCCUAACACAUGCAAGUCGAGCGGCAGCACGGGUACUUGUACCUGGUGGCGAGCGGCGGACGGGUGAGUAAUGCCUAGGAAUCUGCCUGGUAGUGGGGGAUAACGCUCGGAAACGGACGCUAAUACCGCAUACGUCCUACGGGAGAAAGCAGGGGACCUUCGGGCCUUGCGCUAUCAGAUGAGCCUAGGUCGGAUUAGCUAGUUGGUGAGGUAAUGGCUCACCAAGGCGACGAUCCGUAACUGGUCUGAGAGGAUGAUCAGUCACACUGGAACUGAGACCACGGGUCCAGACUCCUACGGGGAGCAGCAGGUGGGGAA